RNAcentral lists this long non-coding RNA (249 nucleotides) under Mytilus galloprovincialis (Mediterranean mussel). Lineage: Eukaryota; Metazoa; Mollusca; Bivalvia; Mytilida; Mytilidae. The record is from RNAcentral.
UGCUUGUUCUUUGAAGUUUUCAACAGACACUUGUCAUUCAUACAUUUUUGAGAAGUACUCUUCUACCUGGUUUAAUAUAAAAAAAGUAAAAUCACAAAAAUACAGAAAUCCGAGGAAAACUCAAAACGAAAAGUCCCUAAACAAAUCGCAAAAUCAAAUGAUAAAACACACGUAACGAAUGGAAAACAAAUGUCAUAUUGCUGACUUGGUACAGGCAUUUUCAAAUGUGGAUUGAACCUUGUUUAAUAG